AACGAACGCUGGCGGCAUGCCUAACACAUGCAAGUCGAACGAGACCUUCGGGUCUAGUGGCGCACGGGUGCGUAACGCGUGGGAACCUGCCCUUAGGUUCGGAAUAACUCCCCGAAAGGGGUGCUAAUACCGGAUAAUGUCUUCGGACCAAAGAUUUAUCGCCUUUGGAUGGGCCCGCGUUGGAUUAGCUAGUUGGUAGGGUAAAAGCCUACCAAGGCGACGAUCCAUAGCUGGUCUGAGAGGAUGAUCAGCCACACUGGGACUGAGACACGGCCCAGACUCCUACGGGAGGCAGCAGUGGGGAAUAUUGGACAAUGGGCGAAAGUCUGAUCCAGCAAUGCCGCGUGAGUGAUGAAGGCCUUAGGGUUGUAAAGCUCUUUUACCCGGGAUGAUAAUGACAGUACCGGGAGAAUAAGCUCCGGCUAACUCCGU
This 432-nucleotide ribosomal RNA is filed under the name uncultured bacterium. RNAcentral's name for it is "partial 16S ribosomal RNA". It matches the Rfam family "Bacterial small subunit ribosomal RNA", at positions 29 to 506 of the family's 1533-position model. The record is from RNAcentral.